ACUCAAAUGAAUUGACGGGAGCCCGCACAAGCGGUGGAUUAUGUGGUUUAAUUCGAAGCAACGCGCAGAACCUUACCUAGGUUUGACAUCCUUUGACAACCGUAGAGAUACGGCUUUUAUAGCAAUAUAACAAAGAGACAGGUGCUGCAUGGCUGUCGUCAGCUCGUGUGGUGGCAUGUCGGGUUAAGUCCCUCAACGAGCGCAACCCCUGUGUUUAGUUGCCAGCAUUCAGUUGGGCACUCUAGACAGACUGCCGUGGUUAACACGGAGGAAGGCGGGGAUGACGUCAAGUCCUCAUGGCCCUUACACCUAGGGCGACACACGUAAUACAAUGGUUGAUACAGAGGGAUGCGAAACGGCGACGUGGAGCAAAUCCCAAAAAGUCAAUCUCAGUUCGGAUUGGAGUCUGCAACUCGACUCCAUGAAGGCGGAAUCGCUAGUAAUCGCGGAUCAGCACGCCGCGGUGAAUACGUUCCCGGGCUUUGCACACACCGCCCGU
This 499-nucleotide ribosomal RNA is filed under the name uncultured bacterium. RNAcentral describes it as "partial 16S ribosomal RNA". It matches the Rfam family "Bacterial small subunit ribosomal RNA", at positions 899 to 1397 of the family's 1533-position model. The record is from RNAcentral.